Molecule: unclassified non-coding RNA, 1089 nt
Filed under: Hevea brasiliensis (rubber tree)
Lineage: Eukaryota; Viridiplantae; Streptophyta; Magnoliopsida; Malpighiales; Euphorbiaceae
Source: RNAcentral
GCAAAUCUAUAAUUUUGACAUCUCCAAUUUCCCCUAUGCCCUUAACAGAAGUAGUAACAGAGGUCAUAUCAAAAUCAUCUGUGAAAGGAAUGAAUGCACCAUCUGCCCUGACAAAUGUCUCUGGAUUUAUGCCAGCAAAUAUGCCAUACCAAAGGUCGUCUCUGAUAAAAGAUGUAGCUCUCUCCACUGAACCCAGAUAUACUCCAGGUCCUAAUGUUGGAGGUAAAGGAUGAAACAUUUUUUGAUUUGGGUAAUCUAAGUCAACAGCAACAUGCCGGUUUGUUAGGAAACCAACUUGUCGAUUGCCUGACAGACUCCUCACAAUAGCGCCCAAGGUUCCAUAUGUCUCCUGGCUUGCUACCUGAGAUCCUGAACCAAUAUAUGGGUCACUACCCCGCAGGUCAUCGACUAUCUCUGUGUACAACUGCUCCUUGGGUGUUGGCUCUGGUGCACCAAAAUAGGAGAACUCGACCACAUCCACUUCACACCACACACCUCCAGGGCCCUCUAAAGCAGUAGGUAGACACUGGAUUGGACUAAGCCAUUGUUUGUGAACUUUCCGGGAUACAAACACUAGUAUUGCUGGUAUAUCAGUCAAAACACCACGUCGAAUACGAAAACCAAUUGCUGUACCGAGACUGUAGCAACGCAAGAGUUUGCUAUGAGAUGCCCUUAUAGUCAUGAGGUCAAGUAAGGUUGUUGCUCGCUGCCCCUCGGGCAAUCGGCCAAGAGUUUCUGGCAAAACCCCUUUCUGAAGAUUUCCGAAAUAGUUUGCUCUCUCUUCAGCAGCAUCAUUUAGCCGACUAGGCCAGGAGAAGUAUGCAGCAUUACUCUCAGAGUGUUGUCCAGCCGAUGCAUAAGGUUGAAGUGUUGGUGGACUAAGUGAAGGAAGAUUAGAAUAACUGCAACAGUAUUUUUCAAGAUCUAAGGCUGACUCCUCUGACGGUGUUGAACCUGAGCAAUGGGUUCUUUUAUUUAACCUUGCUCGAUCCAUAUUUCUCACACAAGCAGCCUAAACUCGAUAUGAAAUUGGGAAAGGAAAACAAAAGGCUGCAAACAUAGUCAAACCCACGCUACGCCAUGAGAGGC